GGCCCGUUAGUCUAGUGGUUAGGACUCCGGCCUCUCACGCCGGUAGCACGGGUUCGAAUCCCGUACGGGCUA
Molecule: transfer RNA, 72 nt
Filed under: Lujinxingiaceae bacterium
Lineage: Bacteria; Deltaproteobacteria; Bradymonadales; Lujinxingiaceae
Description: tRNA-Glu
Rfam family: tRNA
About the family: Transfer RNA (tRNA) molecules are approximately 80 nucleotides in length. Their secondary structure includes four short double-helical elements and three loops (D, anti-codon, and T loops). Further hydrogen bonds mediate the characteristic L-shaped molecular structure. tRNAs have two regions of fundamental functional importance: the anti-codon, which is responsible for specific mRNA codon recognition, and the 3' end, to which the tRNAs corresponding amino acid is attached (by aminoacyl-tRNA synthetases). tRNAs cope with the degeneracy of the genetic code in two manners: having more than one tRNA (with a specific anti-codon) for a particular amino acid; and 'wobble' base-pairing, i.e. permitting non-standard base-pairing at the 3rd anti-codon position.
Source: RNAcentral